GUUUACUUUAUAUGCCUAUGAUAUCUGUAAUAUGUUUCUUGUGUACUUAUUAAGAUUUCUCGAAAUCUCACUGUGGUAGUUUCCACUUCUAUUUCUCAUCCGAAAUGGUAAAAGUUGUAACAGGAUUAGAAAAUCUCGAUGGAAAAUUGCAAAAUGAUAGCAACUCAUCCGGAAAGGAUUGUGCCUAAAAUGAUUAUAAGCUCGCCUAAGCCCUCUAUCUUGGAAUGUCUUGAGACAACUGACCAAUGUAUCACAAAGAUACUCGAUGAUAUAAAGGAUUUCAAAUUUUAUUUAAAAACGUAUGAUGAUAGCACAUCAACUCUAAUAGUCGCUUUUGGAUCUACAGUCAUGGAUAUUCUGUAGAUAAUAUAUGUGAUAUUUUUUAUGAUCAAUGAGAAAAUCUUAAAAUAUGGAUAAAAUUAUUUCAUUUCAUAAUUAUAUAUAUAUUAAUCUAUUUUUUAUUAUUACAUAUUUUUACA
Molecule: long non-coding RNA, 479 nt
Organism: Juglans microcarpa x Juglans regia
Lineage: Eukaryota; Viridiplantae; Streptophyta; Magnoliopsida; Fagales; Juglandaceae
Exons: 2
Source: RefSeq, a predicted model, not a curated record